AGUCAUAUGCUUGUCUCAAAGAUUAAGCCAUGCAGUCUAGUAUAGCAUUAUACCGUGAAACUGCGAAUGGCUCAUUAAAUCAGUUAUCGUUUAUUUGAUAGUACCUUACUACUUGGAUAACCGUGGUAAUUCUAGAGCUAAUACAUGCUGAAAACCCCAACUUCGGGAGGGGUGUAUUUAUUAGAUAAAAAACCAACGCCUUCGGGGCUUCUUGGUGAUUCAUGAUAACUUUACGGAUCGCAUGGCCUUGCGCCGGCGACGGUUCAUUCAAAUUUCUGCCCUAUCAACUUUCGAUGGUAAGGUAUUGGCUUACCAUGGUUUCAACGGGUAACGGGGAAUGGGGCGGGGGCGGCGGGCCGGGCGCGGGGCGCGGCGGGCG
Molecule: ribosomal RNA, 379 nt
Filed under: Pleosporales sp. H26
Lineage: Eukaryota; Fungi; Ascomycota; Dothideomycetes; Pleosporales
Description: bacterial SSU rRNA
Rfam family: Eukaryotic small subunit ribosomal RNA
Source: RNAcentral